RNAcentral lists this long non-coding RNA (430 nucleotides) under Mytilus galloprovincialis (Mediterranean mussel). Lineage: Eukaryota; Metazoa; Mollusca; Bivalvia; Mytilida; Mytilidae. The record is from RNAcentral.
CUCCGUUCGUGCAUUCGUUCGUCCGUCCGUUCGUCUGUGCGUCCGUUCAGGUUAAAGUUUUUGGUCAAGGUAGUUUUUGAUGAAGCUGAAGUCCAAUCAACUUGAAACUUAAUACACUUGUUGCUUAUGAUAUGAUCUUUCUAAUUUUAAAGCCAAAUUAGACUUUUGACCCCAAUUUCACGGUCCACUGAACAUAGAAAAUGAAAGGGGGAGUUUCAGGUUAAAGUUUUUGGUCAAGGUAGAUUUUAAUGAAGCUGAAGUCCAAUCAACCUGAAUCUUAGUACACUUGUUGCUUAUGAUAUGAUCUUUCUAAUUUUAAAGCCAAAUUAGACUUUUGACGCCAAUUUCACGGUCCACUGAACACAGAAAAUGAAAGGGGGAGUUUCAGGUUAAAGUUUUUGGUCAAGGUAGUUUUUGAUGAAGCUGAAGU